AUUGCUGUCGCUUGAACCCCAGCUGGAGAGGAUUCUCAAAGAAGAGAAAUACUAUUAGAAGGGAGAACAGAGGACACAAAUCACCUCUUUCUUCUCAUCUCUACUCACAGAAUCAACAACAUUUGAAAAACAACAGGAACAUCACUGAAUGGGAGGAGGGAUCCUGGCUGAAAGAUCCAACCAGACUGCUGGAAGCAUAUGCCAGCAAGCAACCACAGAGAGCAAGAACCAGCAGGAGAAGUAACAACUUGGGAGAGAAAAGGGAGGGAGCAGAGCACAGAUCUGUUUCUGGAACACACCCGAGGGAGUGCUUUAUCUUACCUUGGAUACACCGACAGUACCACUGGAUGUCACUGUUGCUUCAUGAAAGUCAAAAGAUGUACCAGUUGCUGCCAAUGUAGCAUUUAGGGUCUUUCCCUCCACACCUGCAGAAUGACUGAGCCAGAUAACAAGGAGAAAGAAGAGGACUCGGG
Malaclemys terrapin pileata is the source of this 473-nucleotide long non-coding RNA. RefSeq lists it as uncharacterized. The record is from RefSeq and is a predicted model, not a curated record. The transcript has 4 exons. NCBI's taxonomy places the organism in Eukaryota, Metazoa, Chordata, Testudines, Emydidae.